UGAAAGAAGGCAUUAUAAUGCACGAACUUUUGCAUGCUCUAGGCUUCUACCACGAGCAAAACCGGCCAGAUCGCGAUGAGUUUGUGCAACUGUUCCCUGAGAACAUACAACCGGAAAUAUACGACACAAACUAUCGCAUCUUGCGUAGUAUGCCCACACAUGGCAUUCCGUACGACUACGAAUCCAUCCUGCAUUAAGGAGCCUGGGACUUCGCCAUCAAACGCGAUAAGCCAGCUAUAAUUCCCAAGAUCCGCACCUGUGUGAGAAUGGGUCAGCGCAAAUGGAUGAGUCCACUGGAUGUCGUGAGACUACAAAAAGCCUAUGGAUGUCUCGAUGAUAAUUUUGAAAAAAUUACGCCAAGUAUUGCAGUUGCGUCCACAGCUGAGACAACAGCUCCACCCGCUCUAAAUGCGAGCCUAUCGAGCCAGAACCUUGCUGCGUUUUUUGCUGAACAGAGAACAUGUAGAACCCACAUGGCGUGUUCGGACCAUUUAAAAUGCGGCUGUUUCCUUGGCUGGUGCUGGGCGUACGCUUACUGGGAACUGAUGAAAAUCGGCGAUCCGUGGUGUUGGACGCAGCCGGUGGGUGUUCCAGGCGGGCAAAAUCCUUUGCAUCGUGCGCCGCUGAUAACGAUUGCAACAUCACGAUGACAUGUGGCGACAACAUCACAUAUGCCGGCAGCGGUCCACCAGAAGUGCGUCCAGCCUUCGCAGACGUCACAGCUGGGCCAAUGUCGCAAUGCAAAACAAAUCUCCAAUACUGCGGGCAGCUUUUAUGUUUUUUAGGCUAUAGUGUCGGAGAGGGUGAAUAUUUGUCAAAUAUGCUGUUUAAGUGCAAAGAUGGCCGUAAUGUGGAGCCGAUUUCAAGCUGCAAACAAUGCCGUGACGGAGGUGCGGAUAAGAACGACCACUGCGAGCCCUGAGAUAAUGCAAGUAAAUCAUCGUUUGCACUUUUUGGAUAAGUGUUCAGCGUUAAAUCUUUGUUAUCUCUCUAUGUUCGCUGCUGCGUUCGUUUCAGUGGAGCCAAAAUCCACGCAUUCAGUCUCAAAGCCAAAUGUUUGGGCCGCAACUAGGCUUUCGAAGGUUGUGGGCCCGAUUUUUUUUAGUGGGACGAUGUCGAAGAUUUUCUUGUAUUGCUGAACGCCGCAUGGUGACCCGUGGCACAAAGCGUUUAGCGUGCGCUACAUAAAUAUUAUUGGUUUCAUUAUGGGCUUUUGCGUUUAAAUAUGCCUUUUAUCAUCUACCCUGCGUUUGUUAUGUUGAUUAUCAAGGUAAAGAUCUAUA
Paramacrobiotus metropolitanus is the source of this 1283-nucleotide long non-coding RNA. RefSeq lists it as uncharacterized. NCBI's taxonomy places the organism in Eukaryota, Metazoa, Tardigrada, Eutardigrada, Parachela, Macrobiotidae. The transcript is spliced from 3 exons. The record is from RefSeq and is a predicted model, not a curated record.